This 301-nucleotide ribosomal RNA is filed under the name uncultured bacterium. RNAcentral's name for it is "partial 16S ribosomal RNA". It matches the Rfam family "Bacterial small subunit ribosomal RNA", at positions 509 to 807 of the family's 1533-position model. The record is from RNAcentral.
CAGUCGCCGCGGUAAUACGUAGGUGGCAAGCGUUGUCCGGAAUUAUUGGGCGUAAAGGGCUCGCAGGCGGUUUCUUAAGUCUGAUGUGAAAGCCCCCGGCCCAACCGGGGAGGGUCAUUGGAAACUGGGAAACUUGAGUGCAGAAGAGGAGAGUGGAAUUCCACGUGUAGCGGUGAAAUGCGUAGAGAUGUGGAGGAACACCAGUGGCGAAGGCGACUCUCUGGUCUGUAACUGACGCUGAGGAGCGAAAGCGUGGGGAGCGAACAGGAUUAGAUACCCCGGUAGUCCCUGUCUCUUAUAC